This 482-nucleotide long non-coding RNA is filed under the name Ananas comosus (pineapple). RNAcentral's name for it is "long non-coding RNA (ACOM_LNC035044)". The record is from RNAcentral. Lineage: Eukaryota; Viridiplantae; Streptophyta; Magnoliopsida; Poales; Bromeliaceae.
UAGUCAGUUUAUAUGGUUCAGUAUUUUUAUUACAUUGGAAUAUGUGGACUUUCAUGAAUGUAAUAAAAGGAUUUCUGGAUUGGUAAAAUAAAAGGUUUUCUACCCCUCGUGGUAGCUUUUAUAAAAGAUAAAAGUUUUCGCGUAUGGAACAGUUUUCAAAAGGUUUUUCGUGGACUUUUGUUCAAACAUCGAAUGCAAAACUACGGUGUGAAUGGUGAAUGUAUGAAUGUAUAGCUAUCUGUAUAUUCAUUUAGUUGUGGUUGUAUACUGUUUGUACUUUUGUACUUGUGCGACGCCAUGCAAAUACAGGGGAGACUCUGUCCGUGUGAACAGUGGAUUCCCUGUAUUUGUGGCGGAUCUGGCAUACUCUGGAGUCAGGUUUUUUUUUUUUAAAAAAAAAAAAAAUUAAACGCUUUUCCGCUGUGUUUCAAACUAAAAAGGGGACCCCGGGGCGUGACAGAAACAUAGCUAUUGGACUAUUA